This 596-nucleotide small RNA is filed under the name Pan troglodytes (chimpanzee). RNAcentral's name for it is "processed transcript". Lineage: Eukaryota; Metazoa; Chordata; Mammalia; Primates; Hominidae. The record is from RNAcentral.
UCUACAGCCUAUUCCCCUGCAGCAGCUAGAGUGACCCAAACUCUGAUCGGCAUCUCUGACAGCUCUUGGAACUCAAGAGCUAUGCAGUAAUUAUUUUUGAAGAGAUGAAUAAAUGCUCAGAUGAAGAUCUGCCCUUGGGUGAAAGUACUGGAUAUAAAAAGAUGAAAUAGAUGCAAGAGACAUCUCGAAGGAUGCAAGAGAUACCACAAAGGAUGACUUGCCUGGCUGACAGGGUGUGGAAGAAACAGGAGACCAAGGAAUUGAAGUGAACUCCAGGUAUCUUGAGUGGAACAGAGGAAGAAGAUGAAAAAUGGAAAAUGUCACCAAGUCUUUUUCUUCCUGCAAUGAAGGAAGGAUGUAACGCAUACAAAGAAAUCUGGAUGAAAAAAGAUGAGUCUUGGAAUUUCUCUCAGGACUAUGAUCCAGAACUGAUCAAAGAGGAGAAACGGAAGGAAUUACAGUCAGAGAUCAGGAUACAGGUUGAUGAGUUGAUGAGACAGGAACUUAAAAACUUAAAGCUAGCUGUGGACAGAGAAAGGGAGCGCCCAGUGAAAGCAGGAAAGAAAAAGGACAAGAAAGGAAAGAAAGGCAAAAAG